RNAcentral lists this non-coding RNA (46 nucleotides) under Trichobilharzia regenti. The record is from RNAcentral. Lineage: Eukaryota; Metazoa; Platyhelminthes; Trematoda; Strigeidida; Schistosomatidae.
AUCCAGAUGACGAGUCCGAAAAUGGGACGAAAUGUGCAUCUUGGAU